RNAcentral lists this ribosomal RNA (449 nucleotides) under uncultured bacterium. RNAcentral's name for it is "partial 16S ribosomal RNA". It matches the Rfam family "Bacterial small subunit ribosomal RNA", at positions 29 to 523 of the family's 1533-position model. The record is from RNAcentral.
AACGAACGCUGGCGGCAUGCCUAACACAUGCAAGUCGAACGAGAUCUUCGGGUCUAGUGGCGCACGGGUGCGUAACGCGUGGGAAUCUGCCCUUUGGUUCGGAAUAACAGUUGGAAACGACUGCUAAUACCGGAUGAUGACGAAAGUCCAAAGAUUUAUCGCCAGAGGAUGAGCCCGCGUAGGAUUAGCUAGUUGGUGUGGUAAAGGCGCACCAAGGCGACGAUCCUUAGCUGGUCUGAGAGGAUGAUCAGCCACACUGGGACUGAGACACGGCCCAGACUCCUACGGGAGGAAGCAGUGGGGAAUAUUGGACAAUGGGCGAAAGCCCGAUCCAGCAAUGCCGCGUGAGUGAUGAAGGCCUUAGGGUUGUAAAGCUCUUUUACCCGGGAUGAUAAUGACAGUACCGGGAGAAUAAGCUCCGGCUAACUCCGUGCCAGCAGCCGCCGUAA